RNAcentral lists this ribosomal RNA (426 nucleotides) under uncultured bacterium. Its description in RNAcentral is "bacterial SSU rRNA". It matches the Rfam family "Bacterial small subunit ribosomal RNA", at positions 354 to 796 of the family's 1533-position model. The record is from RNAcentral.
GUAAGGAAUAUUGCACAAUGGGGGAAACCCUGAUGCAGCAACGCCGCGUGGGCGACGAAGGCCUUCGGGUCGUAAAGCCCUUUUCUGGGGGAAGAGAGCGGACGGUACCUCAGGAAUAAGUCUCGGCUAACUACGUGCCAGCAGCCGCGGUAAAACGUAGGAGGCGAGCGUUAUCCGGAUUUACUGGGCGUAAAGCGCGUGCAGGCGGUUAUGCAAGUUGUGCGUAAAAUCUCCUGGCUUAACUGGGAGGGGCCGUGCAAUACUGCAUGACUUGAGGGCAGGAGAGGGAAGCGGAAUUCCCGGUGUAGCGGUAAUAUGCGCAGAUAUCGGGAGGAACACCAGUGGCGAAGGCGGCUUUCUGGCCUGUCUCUGACGCUAAGACGCGAAAGCUAGGGGAGCGAACGGGAUUAGAAACCCCGGUAGUCC